CCUUACUAACUAGAUUAGAGUCUGAAAAACUCAAAAAAUUUUAUGCAGUCAUCAACUUCAUCUCUUAUUUGUCCCAUUGGAAUAGAGUUAAAUAACAACAUUAAAUUC
This is a small nucleolar RNA of Prosopis cineraria, 108 nucleotides long. RefSeq annotates it as small nucleolar RNA snoR97. The record is from RefSeq and is a predicted model, not a curated record. Lineage: Eukaryota; Viridiplantae; Streptophyta; Magnoliopsida; Fabales; Fabaceae. The transcript has a single exon.